GCUCUCGUAGCAUAACGGAUAAUGCAACUGACUUCUAAUCAGUAGAUUGCAGGUUCGAAUCCUGCCGAGAGCG
RNAcentral lists this transfer RNA (73 nucleotides) under Algoriphagus sp. RNAcentral's name for it is "tRNA-Arg". It matches the Rfam family "tRNA". From Rfam's summary of the family: Transfer RNA (tRNA) molecules are approximately 80 nucleotides in length. Their secondary structure includes four short double-helical elements and three loops (D, anti-codon, and T loops). Further hydrogen bonds mediate the characteristic L-shaped molecular structure. tRNAs have two regions of fundamental functional importance: the anti-codon, which is responsible for specific mRNA codon recognition, and the 3' end, to which the tRNAs corresponding amino acid is attached (by aminoacyl-tRNA synthetases). tRNAs cope with the degeneracy of the genetic code in two manners: having more than one tRNA (with a specific anti-codon) for a particular amino acid; and 'wobble' base-pairing, i.e. permitting non-standard base-pairing at the 3rd anti-codon position. Lineage: Bacteria; Pseudomonadati; Bacteroidota; Cytophagia; Cytophagales; Cyclobacteriaceae. RNAcentral also lists the same sequence under 1 other name. The record is from RNAcentral.